UGGGGAAUCUUCCGCAAUGGACGAAAGUCUGACGGAGCAACGCCGCGUGAGUGAAGAAGGUUUUCGGAUCGUAAAACUCUGUCUUUUGGGGCGAACGUGAGUAUGGUGAACAAUCAUAGUCAGUGACGGUACCAAAGGAGGAAGCCACGGCUAACUACGUGCCAGCAGCCGCGGUAAUACGUAGGUGGCAAGCGUUGUCCGGAAUUAUUGGGCGUAAAGAGCGCGUAGGCGGGAUAGUCAGUCUGUUGUAAAAGUGCGGGGCUCAACCCCGUGAUCGCAAUGGAAACAGCUAUUCUUGAGUGCAGGAGAGGAAAGUGGAAUUCCCAGUGUAGCGGUGAAAUGCGUAGAUAUUGGGAGGAACACCAGUGGCGAAGGCGACUUUCUGGACUGUGUCUGACGCUGAGGCGCGAAAGCCAGGGGAGCGAACGGGAUUAGAUACCCCGGUAGUCCUGGCCGUAAACGAUGGGUACUAGGUGUGGGAGGUAUCGACCCCCUUCCGUGCCGGAGUUAACGCAAUAAGUACCCCCGCCUGGGGAGUACGGUCGCAAGACUGAAACUUAAAUGAAUUGACGGGGGUCAUAGCUGUUUCCUG
This 592-nucleotide ribosomal RNA is filed under the name uncultured bacterium. RNAcentral's name for it is "partial 16S ribosomal RNA". It matches the Rfam family "Bacterial small subunit ribosomal RNA", at positions 355 to 941 of the family's 1533-position model. The record is from RNAcentral.